UGCAAAGACCAUCAACCAAAAUCUCACAAGUCACUGCUGAAAUCUCCCAUCCCAUCUCAGUCAUCUCAUAGGCCAUCCCAAUCCCCUCUUCAAACUUACCAUCCAAAAGAAACCAUUUAAUUAAAGUAUUAAAGCUGACUACAUUUGGUGCACAUCCGUGAGUUUUCAUCUCCUUAAACAUUUGCAAAGCCAAGCUCAAUUGUGAGUUCUUACAGUAAACUACAUUUGGUGCACAUCCAUGAGUUUUCAUCUCCUUAAACAUUUGCAAAGCCAAGCUCAAUUGUGAGUUCUUACAGUACCCAGCAAUCAGAGUAUUGAACGUAAUUACAUCAGGCUUCACU
RNAcentral lists this long non-coding RNA (341 nucleotides) under Nicotiana benthamiana. Its description in RNAcentral is "long non-coding RNA (NBEN_LNC037039)". Lineage: Eukaryota; Viridiplantae; Streptophyta; Magnoliopsida; Solanales; Solanaceae. The record is from RNAcentral.